Non-coding RNA from Dipodomys ordii (Ord's kangaroo rat), 70 nucleotides. The record is from Rfam. NCBI's taxonomy places the organism in Eukaryota, Metazoa, Chordata, Mammalia, Rodentia, Heteromyidae.
GGGAAUGUGGCUUAGUGGUAGAGUGCUUGUCUUGCAUGCAUGAAGCACUGGAUUCAAUUCCUCAGUACCA